Molecule: ribosomal RNA, 469 nt
Filed under: uncultured bacterium
Lineage: Bacteria
Description: partial 16S ribosomal RNA
Rfam family: Bacterial small subunit ribosomal RNA
Source: RNAcentral
GACGAACGCUGGCGGCGUGCUUAACACAUGCAAGUCGAACGGAAAGGCCCUGCUUGCCGGGUGCUCGAGUGGCGAACGGGUGAGUAACACGUGGGUGAUCUGCCCCUUACUUUGGGAUAAGCCUGGGAAACUGGGUCUAAUACUGGAUAGGACCAUGCUGUAGGUGGUGUGGUGGAAAGAUUAGUUUCGGUAAGGGAUGAGCUCGCGGCCUAUCAGCUUGUUGGUGGAGUAAUGGCCUACCAAGGCGUCGACGGGUAGCCGGCCUGAGAGGGUGGACGGCCACAUUGGGACUGAGAUACGGCCCAGACUCCUACGGGAGGCAGCAGUGGGGAAUAUUGCACAAUGGGCGCAAGCCUGAUGCGGCGACGCCGCGUGGGGGAUGACGGCCUUCGGGUUGUAAACUCCUUUCAGCCAUGACGAAGCCCUUGUGGUGACGGUAGUGGUAGAAGAAGCACCGGCUAACUACGUG